This 100-nucleotide transfer RNA is filed under the name Cephalotrichum gorgonifer. RNAcentral describes it as "transfer RNA-Leu(CAG)". It matches the Rfam family "tRNA". Rfam says of the family: Transfer RNA (tRNA) molecules are approximately 80 nucleotides in length. The record is from RNAcentral. Lineage: Eukaryota; Fungi; Ascomycota; Sordariomycetes; Microascales; Microascaceae.
GGUAAGAUGGCCGAGCGGUCUAAGGCGCUAGCUUCAGGUGUUCAGCACAUCAGAAUUGCUAGUCUCUCACGAGGCGUGGGUUCGAAUCCCACUCUUAUCA